AGCGAACGCUGGCGGCAGGCUUAACACAUGCAAGUCGAGCGGGCACUUCGGUGUCAGCGGCAGACGGGUGAGUAACACGUGGGAACGUACCCUUCGGUUCGGAAUAACGCUGGGAAACUAGCGCUAAUACCGGAUACGCCCUUUUGGGGAAAGGUUUACUGCCGAAGGAUCGGCCCGCGUCUGAUUAGCUAGUUGGUGGGGUAAUGGCCUACCAAGGCGACGAUCAGUAGCUGGUCUGAGAGGAUGAUCAGCCACACUGGGACUGAGACACGGCCCAGACUCCUACGGGAGGCAGCAGUGGGGAAUAUUGGACAAUGGGAGCAAGCCGGAGCCAGCCAUGCCGCGUGAGUGAUGAAGGCCUUAGGGUUGUAAAGCUCUUUUGUCCGGGACGAUAAUGACGGUACCGGAAGAAUAAGCCCCGGCUAACUUCGUG
Molecule: ribosomal RNA, 433 nt
Filed under: uncultured bacterium
Lineage: Bacteria
Description: partial 16S ribosomal RNA
Rfam family: Bacterial small subunit ribosomal RNA
Source: RNAcentral